Loxodonta africana (African savanna elephant) is the source of this 109-nucleotide small nuclear RNA. Lineage: Eukaryota; Metazoa; Chordata; Mammalia; Proboscidea; Elephantidae. The record is from Ensembl.
GUGCUUGCUUCGGCAGCACAUGUACUAAAAUUGGAAUGACACAGAGAAGAUUAACAUGGCCACUAUGCAAGGGUGACACACACAAAGUCAUGAUGCAUUUCAUAUUUUA